This 424-nucleotide small RNA is filed under the name Pan troglodytes (chimpanzee). RNAcentral's name for it is "processed transcript". The record is from RNAcentral. Lineage: Eukaryota; Metazoa; Chordata; Mammalia; Primates; Hominidae.
GGCGCAGCUGUUGCGGGGCCAUGGCGGGGACGGCGCUCAAGAGGCUGAUGGCCGAGUACAAACCCUUGAGAACGUGCAGUGAGAGCUUGAGGAAGAAGGCCUGACUUGCUGCUGCGGAAUUAGGAGGGAAAAGUGUAUGCGUUAAAAGGGGAAAGGCUCGUUGGUGGAGCUUUGAAAGAAUUAACACUGAAUCCUCCGGAAGGAAUUGUAGCAGGCCCCAUGAAUGAAGAGAACUUUUUUGAAUGGGAGGCAUUGAUCAUGGGCCCAGAAGACACCUGCUUUGAGUUUGGUGUUUUUCCUGCCAUCCUGAGUUUCCCACUUGAUUACCCGUUAAGUCCCCCAAAGAUGAGAUUUACCUGUGAGAUGUUUCAUCCCAACAGUAAGUGCUUUUGGAAGUAGUUUUUGUGGUACCAGGAUAGGUACG